RNAcentral lists this ribosomal RNA (981 nucleotides) under human gut metagenome. Its description in RNAcentral is "bacterial LSU rRNA". It matches the Rfam family "Bacterial large subunit ribosomal RNA", at positions 1950 to 2925 of the family's 2925-position model. The record is from RNAcentral.
CCUAAGGUAGCGAAAUUCCUUGUCGGGUAAGUUCCGACCUGCACGAAUGGCGUAAUGAUGGCCAGGCUGUCUCCACCCGAGACUCAGUGAAAUUGAACUCGCUGUGAAGAUGCAGUGUACCCGCGGCAAGACGGAAAGACCCCGUGAACCUUUACUAUAGCUUGACACUGAACACUGGUCCUUGAUGUGUAGGAUAGGUGGGAGGCUUUGAAGCGUGGACGCCAGUCUGCGUGGAGCCAACCUUGAAAUACCACCCUUUAAUGGCUGGUGUUCUAACGUAGACCCGUAAUCCGGGUUGCGGACAGUGUCUGGUGGGUAGUUUGACUGGGGCGGUCUCCUCCCAAAGAGUAACGGAGGAGCACGAAGGUUGGCUAAUCCUGGUCGGACAUCAGGAGGUUAGUGCAAUGGCAUAAGCCAGCUUGACUGCGAGCGUGACGGCGCGAGCAGGUGCGAAAGCAGGUCAUAGUGAUCCGGUGGUUCUGAAUGGAAGGGCCAUCGCUCAACGGAUAAAAGGUACUCCGGGGAUAACAGGCUGAUACCGCCCAAGAGUUCAUAUCGACGGCGGUGUUUGGCACCUCGAUGUCGGCUCAUCACAUCCUGGGGCUGAAGUAGGUCCCAAGGGUAUGGCUGUUCGCCAUUUAAAGUGGUACGCGAGCUGGGUUUAGAACGUCGUGAGACAGUUCGGUCCCUAUCUGCCGUGGGCGCUGGAGAAUUGAGGGGGGCUGCUCCUAGUACGAGAGGACCGGAGUGGACGCAUCACUGGUGUUCGGGUUGUCAUGCCAAUGGCACUGCCCGGUAGCUAAAUGCGGAAGAGAUAAGUGCUGAAAGCAUCUAAGCACGAAACUUGCCCCGAGAUGAGUUCUCCCUGAGACUUUAAGUCUCCUGAAGGAACGUUGAAGACGACGACGUUGAUAGGUCGGGUGUGUAAGCGCAGCGAUGCGUUGAGCUAACCGAUACUAAUGAACCGUGAGGCUUAACCUU